AACGAACGCUGGCGGCGUGGAUUAGGCAUGCAAGUCGAACGGAUGUUUAGCUUUUUCGAACAUCAGUGGCGAAAGGGUGAGUAACACGUGGGAUACCUGCCUUAGAGUUCGGACAACCUGUCGAAAGAUGGGCUAAUACCGGAUACGUUCAUAUACUUUCGAGUAUAUGAGGAAAGAUAGGGACCUCUUCGGAGGCCUGUCACUCUUAGAUGGCCCGCGGCCUAUCAGCUAGUUGGUGAGGUAAUGGCUCACCAAGGCUAAGACGGGUAGCUGGUCUGAGAGGAUGGU
Molecule: ribosomal RNA, 288 nt
Filed under: uncultured bacterium
Lineage: Bacteria
Description: partial 16S ribosomal RNA
Rfam family: Bacterial small subunit ribosomal RNA
Source: RNAcentral